AUUAGAGUUUGAUCAUGGCUCAGGACGAACGCUGGCGGCGUGCCUAACACAUGCAAGUCGAGCGAAUGAAGUUCCUUCGGGAACGGAUUUAGCGGCGGACGGGUGAGUAACACGUGGGCAACCUGCCUCAUAGAGGGGAAUAGCCUCCCGAAAGGGAGAUUAAUACCGCAUAAGAUUGUAAUGCCGCAUGGCAUAGCAAUUAAAGGAGCAAUCCGCUAUGAGAUGGGCCCGCGGCGCAUUAGCUAGUUGGUGAGGUAACGGCUCACCAAGGCGACGAUGCGUAGCCGACCUGGGAGGGUGAUCGGCCACAUUGGGACUGAGACACGGCCCAGACUCCUACGGGAGGCAGCAGUGGGGAAUAUUGCACAAUGGGGGAAACCCUGAUGCAGCAACGCCGCGUGAGUGAUGACGGCCUUCGGGUUGUAAAGCUCUGUCUUCAGGGACGAUAAUGACGGUACCUGAGGAGGAAGCCCCGGCUAACUACGUGCCAGCAGCCGCGGUAAUAAU
RNAcentral lists this ribosomal RNA (507 nucleotides) under uncultured Clostridium sp. Its description in RNAcentral is "bacterial SSU rRNA". It matches the Rfam family "Bacterial small subunit ribosomal RNA", at positions 1 to 526 of the family's 1533-position model. Lineage: Bacteria; Bacillati; Bacillota; Clostridia; Eubacteriales; Clostridiaceae. The record is from RNAcentral.